UACGUAGGGUGCAAGCGUUGUCCGGAAUUAUUGGGCGUAAAGAGCUCGUAGGCGGUUUGUUGCGUCGGCUGUGAAAUCCCGAGGCUCAACCUCGGGUCUGCAGUCGAUACGAGCAAACUAGAGUGUUGCAGGGGAGACUGGAAUUCCUGGUGUAGCGGUGAAAUGCGCAGAUAUCAGGAGGAACACCGGUGGCGAAGGCGGGUCUCUGGGCAACAACUGACGCUGAGGAGCGAAAGCGUGGGGAGCAAACAGA
This 253-nucleotide ribosomal RNA is filed under the name uncultured bacterium. Its description in RNAcentral is "partial 16S ribosomal RNA". It matches the Rfam family "Bacterial small subunit ribosomal RNA", at positions 524 to 776 of the family's 1533-position model. The record is from RNAcentral.